GACGAACGCUGGCGGCGUGCUUAACACAUGCAAGUCGAACGGAAAGGCCCUGCUUUUGUGGGGUGCUCGAGUGGCGAACGGGUGAGUAACACGUGAGUAACCUGCCCUUGACUUUGGGAUAACUUCAGGAAACUGGGGCUAAUACCGGAUAGGAGCUCCUGCUGCAUGGUGGGGGUUGGAAAGUUUCGGCGGUUGGGGAUGGACUCGCGGCUUAUCAGCUUGUUGGUGGGGUAGUGGCUUACCAAGGCUUUGACGGGUAGCCGGCCUGAGAGGGUGACCGGCCACAUUGGGACUGAGAUACGGCCCAGACUCCUACGGGAGGCAGCAGUGGGGAAUAUUGCACAAUGGGCGGAAGCCUGAUGCAGCAACGCCGCGUGCGGGAUGACGGCCUCCGGGUUGUAAACCGCUUUCGCCUGUGACGAAGCGUGAGUGACGGUAAUGGGUAAAGAAGCACCGGCUAACUACGUG
Molecule: ribosomal RNA, 468 nt
Filed under: uncultured bacterium
Lineage: Bacteria
Description: partial 16S ribosomal RNA
Rfam family: Bacterial small subunit ribosomal RNA
Source: RNAcentral